This 440-nucleotide ribosomal RNA is filed under the name Trapania lineata. RNAcentral describes it as "partial large subunit ribosomal RNA". It matches the Rfam family "Archaeal large subunit ribosomal RNA", at positions 1908 to 2666 of the family's 2987-position model. Lineage: Eukaryota; Metazoa; Mollusca; Gastropoda; Nudibranchia; Goniodorididae. The record is from RNAcentral.
GCCUUAGGAUAACAGAUCUAAGGUUAGACCUGCCCAAUGUGAAUAAAUCAAUGGCCGCGGUACUUUGACCGUGCUAAGGUAGCGCAAUCAAUUGGCUUUUAAUUGGAGCCAGGUAUGAAUGGAGUCACGGGGUUUAGCUGUCUCUUAUCUUUUUUAUUGAAGUUACUAUGCAGGUGAAAAAGCCUGUAUUAAAAAGGGGGACGAGAAGACCCUUAGAGUUUUUCUUAUGUUGAAUUUUUUUUCAUAAUAGUUUGGUUGGGGCAACUUAGGAUCAUAGAAAUGAACAUCCUAAAAAUUAUUAACCGAUUUUAAUAAAAGUGAAUAAACUACCUUAGGGAUAACAGCAUAAUUUUAUAGAUAAGUUUGUGACCUCGAUGUUGGACUAGGAAACUAAUAGGCUAGCCGCUUUUUAGGUAAGUUCUGUUCGAACUAUUAUUCCU